Molecule: long non-coding RNA, 616 nt
Organism: Astatotilapia calliptera (eastern happy)
Lineage: Eukaryota; Metazoa; Chordata; Actinopteri; Cichliformes; Cichlidae
Source: Ensembl
GCGAGUCCACCGUAGUUACACACACACACGCACUACCUAGCGUUAGCAACAAGACCCACAGCAGCAUCACAGAGUCUGUAAGGUUAACUCGGAGUAUUCACAGGUGCUGGUGUAGGAGUGCGCCGGCGGGGAAACGGAUCCGCAAUGCUGAACCCGACCAAUGGUGACCCACACUGAAAAAAAGGGACUGGCCAUCUCUUGGAUUUAUGUGAAGUAAGUCAAUAAGAUAGCAACGUUAAAUCUCGUGAAACCACGCGUGAUUUCAUCUCGCGGGCUUUGGAUUGUGGUUCAAAAAAGGCAUCCAUCUCAGUCAAGUCGAGCAGCCAACUCUACGUUUUUGGAGUCAGCUGAUGGAUUGUGGGUUCAAGGUGUUAUGAUAAAAUGCAGCAUUCCAGUGCAUCCCAACCAUGCCUUUACAGUCAAGGUUUCUGACGGAGCUGAGUUUCUCUCUGACAGUCUGCUGAAAGUGUUUGCAAAGUGAUCGGGGGAACAGUGCACAAAGCUAAAGGAUGUAGCUGCCAUGAUGACAGAUGACAUUAAUGCUCAAAGGGGGUCUCAUCAAAGUGCUCCGCAUCUGUGUGAAAGACAAUUGCAACAUCUUGGUGCAGGAGUUCAU